UACGGGGGGGGCAAGCGUUGUUCGGAAUUACUGGGCGUAAAGGGCUCGUAGGUGGCCAACUAAGUCAGACGUGAAAUCCCUCGGCUUAACCGGGGAACUGCGUCUGAUACUGGAUGGCUGGAGUAUGGGAGAGGAAUGCGGAAUUCCAGGUGUAGCGGUGAAAUGCGUAGAGAUCAGCAGGAAUACCCGUGGCGAAGGCGGCCCCCUGGGCCGUACCUGACGCUGAGGCGCGAAGGCUAGGGGAGCGAACGGG
This 253-nucleotide ribosomal RNA is filed under the name uncultured bacterium. RNAcentral describes it as "partial 16S ribosomal RNA". It matches the Rfam family "Bacterial small subunit ribosomal RNA", at positions 524 to 776 of the family's 1533-position model. The record is from RNAcentral.